This 405-nucleotide ribosomal RNA is filed under the name uncultured bacterium. RNAcentral describes it as "partial 16S ribosomal RNA". It matches the Rfam family "Bacterial small subunit ribosomal RNA", at positions 28 to 526 of the family's 1533-position model. The record is from RNAcentral.
GACGAACGCUGGCGGCGUGCUUAACACAUGCAAGUCGAGCGGAGCGGCGAACGGGUGAGUAACGCGUGAGUAACUGCCCCCCUCUCUGGGAUAACAGUUGGAAACGGCUGCCAAUACCGGCUAGUGGGGGAUGACUCGCGUCCUAUCGGCUUGUGGGUGGGGUAGUGGCAUACCAAGGCGACGACGGGUAGCCGGCCUGAGCGGGCGACCGGCCACAUUGGGCGGAGGUACGUCCCAGACUCCUACGGGAGGCAGCAGUGGAGAGUAUUGCACAAUAGGGGAAACUCUGAUGCAGCAACGCCGCGUGCGGGAUGACGGCCUUCGGGUUGUAAACCGCUUUCAGCGAUGACGCGGUAGUGGAAGAAGAAGCACCGGCUAACUACGUGCCAGCCGCCGCGGUAAUAC